UGUGUAUUUGUGUAAGAGAGGAUGGGGUGGGGGGAGGGGAUGAACUGGGACAGUGAAGGCAUAAAAGGCUUCCACCAUCCAUGCAUGGAAAAGAAGAGAGGCGCACUCAAAUGUGUGUGGUUGUUUUAAAUUGCUCCAGCAGGCUCCCAAGUCUUUAGAUAGUUGGGCAAGAACAGUCAAGACAACAGUAUGAAGGCAUCUAGAAUGACCAUCCUCGCCCUUUCCAUGCCGUUUUAUUUUCUGAUUCAAACUGGGAAAGGGCUGGCUGCUGAUGUCGACCCGGCUGGAACUGUAAAAUUUAGGAAGAACUUCCAGCCCAGUCACAGAGACAUAGAGGUAGAAGAGAGGAAACAGCCUUCCCUUAGAUUGUGGAAGGCUGCAGAAGGGAAAGCCCAGUUAGGUGAUGGAGAGAACGACAAAGCAGCAAGCAAUUUGCAACUGGGAACCAGUAAGCAGAGGCCAAGUGGCAAGAGGCCGUUUCUCCCACUGUCCCCUCCAAAGAGCAAGGGUCAAGGGCCUGAGGCCCACUUGGAAGGCCAUGGGAACUUCAAUACAGAUACGUAUUCCUGCUCUGGUAUCCAGUUGAAAGCCUGCCGAAAACCGUCUGAUUGUGAUGGCUGCUUGGGCCUCUAUACUUGCAAACUUCCAAAAGGAAAGUGCGACUUCAAAGCAGUUUCCCGACAAACAGGUGGCUUCCUCCGGAGUAUUGAGGAAAGAUUAAAUAUACGGUCUCGGUGAAAAGCUGAUCCAAAACAUUUCAGUGUAUUUUGGGAUGGAGAUGAAUUAAAUAAAUUAUCUUGACCAUGAAAACUGCUGCCGAAU
RNAcentral lists this long non-coding RNA (822 nucleotides) under Notechis scutatus (mainland tiger snake). RNAcentral describes it as "lncRNA (ENSNSUG00000013672.1)". Lineage: Eukaryota; Metazoa; Chordata; Lepidosauria; Squamata; Elapidae. The record is from RNAcentral.